This 253-nucleotide ribosomal RNA is filed under the name uncultured bacterium. RNAcentral describes it as "partial 16S ribosomal RNA". It matches the Rfam family "Bacterial small subunit ribosomal RNA", at positions 524 to 776 of the family's 1533-position model. The record is from RNAcentral.
UACAGAGGGGGCAAGCGUUGUUCGGAAUUACUGGGCGUAAAGGGCGCGUAGGCGGCCUCGCAAGUCCCGUGUGAAAUCCCUCGGCUCAACUGAGGAAUGGCACGGGAAACUGCGGGGCUUGAGUUCGGGAGAGGGAAGCGGAAUUCCGGGUGUAGCGGUGAAAUGCGUAGAUAUCGAGAGGAACACCUGCGGCGAAGGCGGGUUGCUGGGCCGACACUGACGCUGAUGCGCGAAAGCCAGGGGAGCGAACGGG